Molecule: ribosomal RNA, 908 nt
Filed under: uncultured Bacillota bacterium
Lineage: Bacteria; Bacillati; Bacillota
Description: bacterial SSU rRNA
Rfam family: Bacterial small subunit ribosomal RNA
Source: RNAcentral
CCUUUAUCCUGGCUCAGGACGAACGCUGGCGGCGUGCUUAACACAUGCAAGUCGAACGGAGUGCCUCGGAAAGAGAUUUCGGUCAAUGGAAGGGGCUGCUUAGUGGCGGACGGGUGAGUAACGCGUGAGGAACCUGCCUUUCAGAGGGGGACAACAGUUGGAAACGACUGCUAAUACCGCAUAACAUAUCUGCAUCGCAUGAUGCGGGUAUCAAAGAUUUAUCGCUGAGAGAUGGCCUCGCGUCUGAUUAGCUGGUUGGUGAGGUAACGGCCCACCAAGACGACGAUCAGUAGCCGGACUGAGAGGUUGGCCGGCCACAUUGGGACUGAGAUACGGCCCAGACUCCUACGGGAGGCAGCAGUGGGGAAUAUUGGGCAAUGGGCGCAAGCCUGACCCAGCAACGCCGCGUGAAGGAAGAAGGCUUUCGGGUUGUAAACUUCUUUUAAGAGGGAAGAGCAGAAGACGGUACCUCUUGAAUAAGCCACGGCUAACUACGUGCCAGCAGCCGCGGUAAUACGUAGGUGGCAAGCGUUGUCCGGAUUUACUGGGUGUAAAGGGCGUGCAGCCGGGAGUGCAAGUCAGAUGUGAAAUCCCGCGGCUCAACCGCGGAAUUGCAUUUGAAACUGUAUUUCUUGAGUACUGGAGAGGCAGACGGAAUUCCUAGUGUAGCGGUGAAAUGCGUAGAUAUUAGGAGGAACACCAGUGGCGAAGGCGGUCUGCUGGACAGCAACUGACGGUGAGGCGCGAAAGCGUGGGGAGCAAACAGGGUUAGAUACCCUGGUAGUCCACGCUGUAAACGAUGGAUACUAGGUGUGCGGGGACUGACCCCCUGCGUGCCGGAGUUAACACAAUAAGUAUCCCACCUGGGGAGUACGAUCGCAAGGUUGCAACUCAAAUGAAUUGACGGA